RNAcentral lists this long non-coding RNA (1437 nucleotides) under Taeniopygia guttata (zebra finch). Its description in RNAcentral is "lncRNA (ENSTGUG00000027273.1)". Lineage: Eukaryota; Metazoa; Chordata; Aves; Passeriformes; Estrildidae. The record is from RNAcentral.
AUCCACACAGGCUCCUAGCCCCCGGCAACCAUAGCAGGGCUGACCUCGCUGCCCUCCAGCCCAGCCCUGUGUGCUGCAGCCACCAGCCCGUUCUCCUCGGCUCUCCAGGGGCUGGCAGUGGGCUCGGUGGCAGUGCCAGAGGCUGUCUCCUGUGGGAGACAGGGCUGCAGGAUCCCCUGGGUGCUCCCAGUUGCUCUCAGCAGGGAUAACAGCCAGCUCCAGCUCUCGGUGAUGCUUGGGCUCCUCCGCUCCCACUGCAGCGCUCGCUUCUGCUGCUCUUUGCUUCAUUCUGGACUUCAGCAGCCCCCAGAGCUGUUCUGUGUAAUUAGCAGAUCCUCCCCCUCUCCCUCCCCUUCCUCCCCUCCUCCUCCUCCUCCCCUGCUCAGCCGCCCAUCCCAGCACCCAGCUCUUGCCUUCAUCCCUGCCAGGCGAAGGGGAGGGCAGGGAACCCAGGUCUCUGUCCUGGAACAGAGAAGGGAAGGAGGGGAGGGUGGAAGGCAGAGGGAGAAGCUCACUCUUGCCUUCAUAAUGUUCCCAAAGUCCUGCCCCCUUAAAGAGAACCUGGUCCCUUCUCUCGGUGCUCGCUCCUCUCAAGGACACCCACUGCUAACUGCAAAUGUCACCCUGCCUGCCUGCCCUGCAGCAUUCCCAGAGGGAUGCGGAAUCCCGGCCACGCUGUGUCCAGGGAUGGCACAAAGAUGCCAGCAGGUACUUCGGGAAGUACUUUGGAGUGUGAGCUCGACCCUUCUUAGCCAUGAGAGAAGCCACAGGAACCCGCAGCCAGGGGAAAGCCUGGCAGAUGGCAUCGCAGGCGAGCGUGCAUCGAGUGUGCCAGGGCUCUGCUCCCCCCAGCACCCUGCAGCCUCAGCCCCAGCUCUGCCAGCAGGAAAACCUCUCCAUUCCCACAGCUCCGAGGAGCAGAUGCCAUGGCAGAGCUGGUUUUCAUGGGCAAUUUCUCUCCCUCUCUCCCGCUCCUCCUCCUUCCCCAUCCCUCCCUCUCCCUGCAGCUCUCCCAGUCCCUGUCCCUCAUUCAUCCCCAGUGUGGAACUGCCCACUGUGGGCUCACCAUUACAUGUACUGCAACAAAUCCCAGAAAAUCCCUGUUGCAGGCUGGGAGAUGUCCCCUUCCUGCCCCCAAUCCCUUCCCGGAGCAGAGGCGGUGUCCCUGCCCCAGGCUGGCCUUCUGCCCGCCCCUGUCACCUGCCUGUCCCCUCCCGCCCGCCCCGCUGGCCGGGGGAUCAUUGCACAGUGGAAAGACAUGGGAGUAUUGACUUGCAGUCAAAUCUUAUCGGCCUCUGGAGGCCCCUGGAUUGGUUUCACUCCUAGCAGGGCUUGAAAAAAAACCAUAAAUAAAUAAAUAAAUAAAUAAUAAAAUCGAUCCAUGUCUGCAAAGGUGAAGGCAGGAUGUGGCUGUCACAUCCUAUCUGGGGAGGAUCC